Molecule: ribosomal RNA, 712 nt
Filed under: uncultured Myxococcales bacterium
Lineage: Bacteria; Pseudomonadati; Myxococcota; Myxococcia; Myxococcales
Description: bacterial SSU rRNA
Rfam family: Bacterial small subunit ribosomal RNA
Source: RNAcentral
GUAGUCCACGCCGUAAACGAUGAGCAUUAGGUGCAGCGGAUAUUGACCUCUGCUGUGCCGUAGCUAACGCGUUAAAAUSUCCGCCUGGGGAGUACGGCCGCAAGGCUAAAACUCAAAGGAAUUGACGGGGGCCCGCACAAGCAGUGGAGCAUGUGGUUUAAUUCGAAGCAACGCGCAGAACCUUACCAGGGCUAGACAAACUGAGAAUCCUGAAGAAACUCGGGAGUGCUCGCAAGAGAACUCAGGUCCAGGUGCUGCAUGGCUGUCGUCGGCUCGUGUCGUGAGAUGUUGGGUUAAGUCCCGCAACGAGCGCAACCCUUAUCCUUAGUUGCCAUCAUUUAGUUGGGCACUCAAAGGAGACUGCCGGGGUCAACCCGGAGGAAGGUGGGGAUGACGUCAAGUCCUCAUGGCCCUUAUGUCCUGGGCUACACACGUGCUACAAUGGUUGGUACAAAGCGCUGCGAAGCCGCAAGGUGGAGCGAAUCGCAAAAAGCCAGCCUCAGUACGGAUUGCACUCUGCAACUCGAGUGCAUGAAGUCGGAAUUGCUAGUAAUCGUCGAUCAGCAGGCGACGGUGAAUACGUUCCCGGGCCUUGUACACACCGCCCGUCACACCAUGGAAGUCGAGUGCUCCAGAAGUGGCCACGCUAACCCGCAAGGGAGGCAGGUCCCCAAGGAGUGUUUGGUAACUGGGGUGAAGUCGUAACAAGGUA